CAGUAGCCGCGGUAAUACAGAGGGUGCAAGCGUUAAUCGGAAUUACUGGGCGUAAAGCGCGCGUAGGUGGUUUGUUAAGUUGGAUGUGAAAUCCCCGGGCUCAACCUGGGAACUGCAUCCAAAACUGGCAAGCUAGAGUAUGGUAGAGGGUGGUGGAAUUUCCUGUGUAGCGGUGAAAUGCGUAGAUAUAGGAAGGAACACCAGUGGCGAAGGCGACCACCUGGACUGAUACUGACACUGAGGUGCGAAAGCGUGGGGAGCAAACAGGAUUAAAUACCCCUGUAGUCCCUGUCUCUUAUAC
Molecule: ribosomal RNA, 301 nt
Filed under: uncultured bacterium
Lineage: Bacteria
Description: partial 16S ribosomal RNA
Rfam family: Bacterial small subunit ribosomal RNA
Source: RNAcentral